This 66-nucleotide transfer RNA is filed under the name Hapalocarcinus marsupialis. RNAcentral describes it as "tRNA-His". Lineage: Eukaryota; Metazoa; Arthropoda; Malacostraca; Decapoda; Cryptochiridae. The record is from RNAcentral.
ACCCAAAUAGUUUAAGAAAAUGUUAAUUUGUGGUGUUAAAGAUGUAAAGUAGUGUUACUUUGGGUA